UGGGAUAUUCUGGACCUUUGCCAGAAAUGGUAAAGGGUAUGUGCUUAGAGCCUGCGAUACUCUGCCGGCCCCCUCUGACUUCACCUAGACGUGGGUGGAUGGAGCUCCCAGACGUGGGAGACUUUUGUCAGGUGGUCAUUCAGAAAUGGAUGAAUCACAUUCUGACUGAGAUCCCACUACACCUUCUAUAUGUUUGAUAUGACAUCCAGAGUUUUGGUGAGUUGUUUUUGUUCAUGCUCUGGAUAAGAAUGAUAUGAUUGCAACGUCAAGGGCGACGUUUGAGCUUCUGUACGAUAUUUGUUUUGUUAUGCUCUGAAAUGCUUCAUUCACUGAUGAUUUUUGCUUCGAAAUGUUUCAUAUGCCGUUGAUAUGCUUCGGAACAUUUUAUAUGCCAUUGAUAAGCUUCGAUAUGUUUCCUUUAUUACUGAUAUGCUCCAAUUACUCUAUGCCCCAUCUGUCAGGAACCAAAUAUGUAAGAUUGAAAGGACAAUUGUGCUUCUGCUCCUAAUGAUAUUAUGUCUACGAAAUUGUAUAUUCUGCCUUGUAUUUUGAAACUGUAUCUCCUUGGAAAUUGUACUAUUUUGAUAUGGAUAUGUUAGUCACUUGCUGAGCUCUUUAUGCUCACCCCGUUUGUUGAUAAAUUUUUCAGGAUAGUGUAUCGCUUGCUUAAAUGUUAAGAUUGGGCUGAGGCAGUGGAAAGUUUAGAAGAUUUUGGGCAGAUCUUUGUUAGCAUAUAUUCUUUUGUUGUAUAAGAUACUCUGCAUCUUAUGAAAUGUGAUGAUGAAUCUAAACCUGUGGAUUUUGUGUAAGAUAAAGGAUCCCUCAUGUAUAGGAUUUUGGAAUGUUAAGUUAAAUUCAUGUAAUGAUAUGAUCUUAUGGUAAUCGUUGGUUUGGUGACUGUAUAGACUUCCCCAUUUGUGAAUUUAUGUUGUGGUUAUUAUUUUGACGAGUUGAGUUCAGAUUGUAUGAAUUAUCGAGUGAUGUGUGGUAUGUUUAUGAAUUGCACAGGGUUAUGAAUUUGUAGUCUUUAGAGGUGAAAUUUUAAUCUGAAUGUUUUCUUAGUGACCUCAAAUGUGUGUUUGGAUCCUGGGUUAGUUAUGAUGAAAUUUUUAAAUAUUGUCGAUA
RNAcentral lists this long non-coding RNA (1125 nucleotides) under Musa acuminata (dwarf banana). Its description in RNAcentral is "long non-coding RNA (MACU_LNC011740)". The record is from RNAcentral. Lineage: Eukaryota; Viridiplantae; Streptophyta; Magnoliopsida; Zingiberales; Musaceae.